CAUCAGGAGGUUAGUGCAAUGGCAUAAGCCAGCUUGACUGCGAGCGUGACGGCGCGAGCAGGUGCGAAAGCAGGUCAUAGUGAUCCGGUGGUUCUGAAUGGAAGGGCCAUCGCUCAACGGAUAAAAGGUACUCCGGGGAUAACAGGCUGAUACCGCCCAAGAGUUCAUAUCGACGGCGGUGUUUGGCACCUCGAUGUCGGCUCAUCACAUCCUGGGGCUGAAGUAGGUCCCAAGGGUAUGGCUGUUCGCCAUUUAAAGUGGUACGCGAGCUGGGUUUAGAACGUCGUGAGACAGUUCGGUCCCUAUCUGCCGUGGGCGCUGGAGAACUGAGGGGGGCUGCUCCUAGUACGAGAGGACCGGAGUGGACGCAUCACUGGUGUUCGGGUUGUCAUGCCAAUGGCACUGCCCGGUAGCUAAAUGCGGAAGAGAUAAGUGCUGAAAGCAUCUAAGCACGAAACUUGCCCCGAGAUGAGUUCUCCCUGACUCCUUGAGAGUCCUGAAGGAACGUUGAAGACGACGACGUUGAUAGGCCGGGUGUGUAAGCGCAGCGAUGCGUUGAGCUAACCGGUACUAAUGAACCGUGAGGCUUAACCUU
This 595-nucleotide ribosomal RNA is filed under the name Escherichia coli. Its description in RNAcentral is "partial 23S ribosomal RNA". It matches the Rfam family "Bacterial large subunit ribosomal RNA", at positions 2336 to 2925 of the family's 2925-position model. The record is from RNAcentral. Lineage: Bacteria; Pseudomonadati; Pseudomonadota; Gammaproteobacteria; Enterobacterales; Enterobacteriaceae.